Molecule: ribosomal RNA, 507 nt
Filed under: uncultured bacterium
Lineage: Bacteria
Description: bacterial SSU rRNA
Rfam family: Bacterial small subunit ribosomal RNA
Source: RNAcentral
AGUGAACGCUGGCGGCAGGCCUAAUACAUGCAAGUCGAACGGCAGCACAGCAGAGCUUGCUCUGUGGGUGGCGAGUGGCGGACGGGUGAGGAAUACAUGGGAAUCUGCCCAGUCGUGGGGGAUAACGUAGGGAAACUUACGCUAAUACCGCAUGCGCCCUUCGGGGGAAAGCCGGGGACCGUAAGGCCUGGCGCGAUUGGAUGAGCCCAUGUCGGAUUAGCUAGUUGGCGGGGUAAAGGCCCACCAAGGCGACGAUCCGUAGCUGGUCUGAGAGGAUGAUCAGCCACACUGGAACUGAGACACGGUCCAGACUCCUACGGGAGGCAGCAGUAGGGAAUAUUGGACAAUGGGCGCAAGCCUGAUCCAGCCAUGCCGCGUGAGUGAAGAAGGCCCUCGGGUUGUAAAGCUCUUUGUCCGGAAAGAAAAGCGCCGGGUUAAUACCCUGGUGUCCUGACGGUACCGGAAGAAUAAGCACCGGCUAACUUCGUGCCAGCAGCCGCGGUAAUC